AUUGGAUAAACUGCUUAAACCAAUGCUGGGUACAGGGCAGGUACUAUUCAGGUUAGCUGUUACUGUUAUUGUUAUUCUUUUCAUCAUCUUGAUAAGGCAUGCAGAGACGAUGCUGACACAAACAAUCUGACAAGUGAGGCUGGAUAAAAUGAAGAGCAACUUGAAAAUGAUUUCUGAUAACACUGUUAAUUAUAACACAGAGAAAACCUUUCCCCAGAGAAGCAAUUGCUAUUUUGAUUGGCUCUUAAGUUAACAUACUGUUUGUUUUUUUCAGUUCAACCAUUGAAUAACUACAGUGAGGCAGGGUAAGUUACACAGCAGUGUCUAAAAUAUGAGCCUUGCUCUUGAAAAGCUUUCCUUCUGGAGGGGAUAUAGGGUGAUCACUGCUGGCUCCAGAGUUUUCUGUAGUAUUCAUAGUGGUGUCAUGGCUUCAGCAAUUGCUGAUUUCCAUUUGCUGGACUUUUCCUUUGGUUUACUUUAACAUUUCAUUUAAUGUAAGUGCCUAGAUCAAAGUGCUGAAUAAACUGGCCGUCAGUAAGUUUUGAGAGAUGAGCUUGGAAGGUAGAAGAUUCAAACACACUUAUAAGAUGGAACAACCAUUCUCUCUUGCUACCCCCUUUUUGUCCUGGAAUUGCCACUGUGUAUAUGCCCAGAGCCUGAGGAAUGCUUGAAUCCUGGGUCAGAAAGAAAAAUCUGAGGUCCACAAGGGGUGUGGCUUCAAAGGCAAGAACUUUCCAGCGCCAUGCCUCCAUCUACCUCCCCAUCCAGGAACCUAGAGUUCUUUGCCUAACUUUCCCCCAAGGGGCUAGGUAAAAUUUCAGGUGUGCUCCUUUGUUUAAAGAGACCGCCAAAAGCCCUGGAAAGAGGGGCUCUAUUGUGGGCCAAGCCGCUAAUCCAAUACCGGAGUCAAAAAUCAAUCACUCCAGAGGAAGUCCGAAAGAACUCCUCUCAUUGGACAAGAACGAGAAUCGGGCAGGAAUAACCUCAAAGUUAAAACUCCACUGUAACUUACCUGUGCAGACUCCAUCUCUGGAUCCUCUCCCACAACAGCAUGGGACUCUCUCUCUCUCUCUCUCUCUCUCUGCCUAAUAAAUC
RNAcentral lists this long non-coding RNA (1095 nucleotides) under Callithrix jacchus (white-tufted-ear marmoset). RNAcentral's name for it is "lncRNA (ENSCJAG00000086341.1)". The record is from RNAcentral. Lineage: Eukaryota; Metazoa; Chordata; Mammalia; Primates; Cebidae.